Molecule: non-coding RNA, 101 nt
Organism: Lophium mytilinum
Lineage: Eukaryota; Fungi; Ascomycota; Dothideomycetes; Mytilinidiales; Mytilinidiaceae
Source: the annotation of a GenBank genome assembly
GCCGGUGUGGUUUAGUAGGCUAUAAUGUGGUGGACGACCGAUCUCGGGCUUAUGGCCUGGGCGGCACCAUCGAGACCCAAGUUCGAUUCUUGGCGCCGGCC